Molecule: transfer RNA, 20 nt
Filed under: Odontoschisma francisci
Lineage: Eukaryota; Viridiplantae; Streptophyta; Jungermanniopsida; Jungermanniales; Cephaloziaceae
Also listed under: 1 other name
Description: partial tRNA-Phe
Source: RNAcentral
UGCCGGGAUAGCUCAGUCGG